Molecule: ribosomal RNA, 253 nt
Filed under: uncultured bacterium
Lineage: Bacteria
Description: partial 16S ribosomal RNA
Rfam family: Bacterial small subunit ribosomal RNA
Source: RNAcentral
UACAGAGGUGGCAAGCGUUGUUCGGAAUUACUGGGCGUAAAGGGCGCGUAGGCGGCCUUCUAAGUCAGACGUGAAAUCCCCCGGCUUAACCUGGGAACUGCGUCUGAUACUGGAGGGCUUGAGUGCGGGAGAGGGAUGUGGAAUUCCAGGUGUAGCGGUGAAAUGCGUAGAUAUCUGGAGGAACACCAGCGGCGAAGGCGGCAUCCUGGACUGGUACUGACGCUCAUGAGCGAAAGCGUGGGGAGCGAUCCGG